UAACCUACCCAUCAGAGGGGGAUAACACUUGGAACAGGUGCUAAUACCGCAUAACAGUUUAUGCCGCAUGGCAUAAGAGUGAAAGGCGCUUUCGGGUGUCGCUGAUGGAUGGACCCGCGGUGCAUUAGCUAGUUGGUGAGGUAACGGCUCACCAAGGCCACGAUGCAUAGCCGACCUGAGAGGGUGAUCGGCCACACUGGGACUGAGACACGGCCCAG
Molecule: ribosomal RNA, 218 nt
Filed under: uncultured bacterium
Lineage: Bacteria
Description: partial 16S ribosomal RNA
Rfam family: Bacterial small subunit ribosomal RNA
Source: RNAcentral